Long non-coding RNA from Tribolium castaneum (red flour beetle), 3267 nucleotides. RefSeq lists it as uncharacterized. The record is from RefSeq and is a predicted model, not a curated record. NCBI's taxonomy places the organism in Eukaryota, Metazoa, Arthropoda, Insecta, Coleoptera, Tenebrionidae. The transcript has 4 exons.
UUUGAAGAACUCUAGGAAUAAAACAAACUACCAAUUUUAUAGCUUUUCUUAAAAAUGUUAUUAAUUGCAAUAUCAAUCAGAUUUAUAUUUGCUUAUAAAAGUUAUUACGAUCAGUUUUGCUUCACAUGUACAAAGUUAAAGCACAUUAUUUGCAACUAUGAUGAAACGUUUUCUUCUUUGCUUGGUGGUUGUGGCUUUGGUAAUGCCAGUUUUAAACCAACCAACAGACGGUGUUAAAACCUCUUCAACUUUGCACAGUGGUGAGAAAACCGGUGGAGAAACGAUGGACACUGCAGAAUCUGCUGUUUUCCUACCCCGAUUUACUUACAGAAGAACGCAAAGUCAAAGAUACAGAUUCUAAAGUCUAAAAACUAUUUUCCCGAUGUCUUAAUGUUGUAAUAAAUAAACUAUUUGGAAUUUUUUUCAACCAGACUGCUGUUGUUUUUGUUAAAUAACACGACCAUGACCUGUUGUUACAGUUAUUAACAAUUUCAGUUAAAAUAACGACUCCAAGCAAAGUUUAACCACCUUUCUGUGAUAAUUGAAACUGUAUAAUGUCGCUCUUCUGCAAACAAACUAGUUCUUUGUCACCCUUCUAUCUCUGGACUAUUUAAAGAAGAUGUUGAGGUACAAAAUAAUUAAAGGUACUUCGGUCACAAUAAGAUGAAGUCAGUCUUUUUUUAUUUAAGUCUGAUUUGUAUAAUUAGUGGCAUAGAAUGCAAAACAGUGAUAAGCGAGAAUAAAGCACUAUCGGAAUCGUUAUCACAGGUUAUGGAUCAAAGUGAGAAUGACAAUGAUGAAAUUUUGGUCACUGCAGAACAAGUGUUUUUGCCAAAAUUUGCCUCGAGACGAAAUAUUGCGUCCAGAAGAAAGGGACAAGUCCAGAGAAGGCAAUACAAUAGGAGAAAAGCGACCACAAGAAAGCCAAGUUACAAUAAUUACUGGGAGAAUUAUUAUUGGAGACCUUGGGGCUACUCAGGAUUUUAUUAAUCUAGUGAUUUAUUUAUUUUUAAUGUAAUUGUAGCUGUUUUUUUCUAUUUUUUCAUUAUAUAAUUAAGCCAGGACGAUUAUUUUUAUUAUUUUUUUUUGUGAAAAUUUUCAACUUUGAAGCAAACUGAGUCAUAAAAUUCUAUCAGUUGCAGACAGCUUUUAUCAUCUGAUACCAGGCCUUAGCACAUUUUUAUAAUUGUGUCAGAUGACUUCGUGCUGAGUUAAAAGGCUAUCAGAGUUUUAAAUAACAAUUUUUAUUUUCAAUCAUAACAUAUUACAUAUAAAUAGGCAAGAGAAUUAAUUAACUUUGAAUCAACACUAGAAGAAAACCAUAGGGGGCCUGAAAGGCUUCCUCCUUCUGGUAACGUCUCUCUUGUUGUUUCUUGUUCGAGGUGUUGAAGCCACAUUUGGAUUGGUGUAGGUGAUAAAUCCGUUUCCAAAAUUUGGACCGUUUGGCACAAAUCUGUUGUCCACUUGCCUUCUGUCCCUUCUUUGUCCCCGAUUUCUUAGGAAAUAUUUGAGAAAAUCGAACGCAAUCGGAUUAUUUCUGUACUCGUAUUUGAGGUGAUUGUAGCGUCUGAGAAAAUUUGGAUCAAUUGAGCGUUCCUGUCGUUCGUUAAACGAAUUUUCGGGUGAAGACAGUGUUAACGGUAAUGCGAGUAAAAGUGUGGUCAAAAAUAGUAAACAAGUCUGAAACAGAAAUUGGUGAAAACUCAGCUUACAGUUUUUAUACUUAAUUUACCAUUUUGACAGCGACAAUACAACUUACUGGCUUUAGGAAACCGAAUAAAAUCUUUAUAUACCUUUGGAUGGAGAUGUGUAAAUAAAAAACGUUGAUUUGCAAAAGUCGGUUAGCUAAUUAAUACUAAUGUUCUCGAAUGAACUGGCUAUUCUUGUCCUGAGUUGACAGAAAGUAUUAUUCUUCCAAGUUUAGUACUUUCAAGUUCAAGUUAAUGAAUUGGUGCUAAUCUUAAAGAUCAAUAUAAUGACAAUCAUUUUAUAUUUAAAAAUGAAAAUAAGUCGGCAGUGUUUGCUAUUACCUAUUAGUGAUUAGUUUUGUUUUCCAAUAUAUUUUUAUUCAUUACUUUUAACUAGGUUCUUCAAAUUAUUGUUUGUCUUAAAAAGCAUAAUGGAAUUUUUUAUUUGGCAUAAUUUUAAUUAUAUAUAGUAUGUAAAAUAAUUAUUUUCGUGGUACAAGAAGUGGGAAUGUUAAUCUAAUAACUGUGUUUGAAGGUGUUACAAAAAUAACUAAUAUGUGCAGAGUGCGUAUGUUCUUUUACACCAAUUCUUUUAAAAAUCGUCCAGUAAAAAUAUUGCAACAAGAAGGUGUGUUGGGUUGUAGGUGUUGUUUUAGCAGCACCACAAAUUAAAACUGAAAGCCGAUUUGGUUCUUUUGGGAAUGGAGGUUUUGGGGGCGGCCAGUUUGGAGGCGGUCAGUUUGGAGGCGGCCAAUUUGGGGGCGGACAAUAUGGAGGCAGUCAGGUUGAAAGUGGGCACUUUACAAGUGAACAUUUCACAAGUGGACAGGUUGGAAGCAGCCAAUUUGGAGGCGGUCAGUUUGGAGGUGGACAAUUUGGAGGUGGACAGUUUGGAAGUGGGUCAUUUGGGGGUGUUGAUUAUUAUUAAAAAUAAGAAUUAUACACAUAAUCACAAUAAACAAUGACUAAAUCAUUUUUUGUUCAGUAUGAUUUUGUAAAGCUUUCAAAAUGUUUUAGUUAAACGUAAAACUUAAGGUUAUUAGUCGGAAGAUAUUGUCAAAAACAUGGUUUAUCGCACUGUGGUCACACAAAACUAUAAAUAAAGCCAGACUUCACAUUUUCCACAUAAACAAUUAACAGGUUAUCACAAUUAUAUCCUUCUGAGCUCACAAGAGAUAAACUCGUUCUUACGAUAGUAAAAAAUAUAAAAGCUACCAACUUUCCACAAUUCCACUAGUUAUUGUCUGUUUGAACGCAAUGAAAACUUUUGUCAUUUGUGUUAUUUUAUUGAUUGCUGUGUCUGCAGCUCCUCGUCCUGACCAUCACACUGGUCAUGGUGUAGGUGGAUCUGCUGGUCAACAUGGUACUCAUGGUAGUACCGGAAGCCACCAAGGUGGUCUGAUCGGAGGAGGCACCCAUGAUUAUGGCACACAUGGCACACACCAAGGGGGUCAUCAAGGGGGUCACCAAGGAGGUCUGAUUGGCGGUGGAACUCAUGAUUACGGAACGCACGGUGGUCAUCAUUAAAUGUAAAUUUGUAUGUUGUUUGGUAAAUAAAACGAGCUAAAUUGUUGUUUGA